GGAGUAAUACUCAGAGGCGCCCUUGCUAAGGGUGUAGGCCGGGAAACUGGCGCGAGAGUUCGAAUCUCUCUUACUCCG
Molecule: transfer RNA, 78 nt
Filed under: Lactobacillus delbrueckii
Lineage: Bacteria; Bacillati; Bacillota; Bacilli; Lactobacillales; Lactobacillaceae
Description: tRNA-Ser
Rfam family: tRNA
About the family: Transfer RNA (tRNA) molecules are approximately 80 nucleotides in length. Their secondary structure includes four short double-helical elements and three loops (D, anti-codon, and T loops).
Source: RNAcentral